Molecule: ribosomal RNA, 400 nt
Filed under: uncultured bacterium
Lineage: Bacteria
Description: bacterial SSU rRNA
Rfam family: Bacterial small subunit ribosomal RNA
Source: RNAcentral
UGAGGAAUAUUGGUCAAUGGACGCAAGUCUGAACCAGCCAAGUAGCGUGCAGGAUGACGGCCCUCCGGGUUGUAAACUGCUUUUAGUUGGGAAUAAAGUGCAGCUCGUGAGCUGUUUUGUAUGUACCAUCAGAAAAAGGACCGGCUAAUUCCGUGCCAGCAGCCGCGGUAAUACGGAAGGUCCAGGCGUUAUCCGGAUUUAUUGGGUUUAAAGGGAGCGCAGGCGGACUCUUAAGUCAGUUGUGAAAUACGGCGGCUCAACCGUCGGACUGCAGUUGAUACUGGGAGUCUUGAGUGCACACAGGGAUGCUGGAAUUCAUGGUGUAGCGGUGAAAUGCUCAGAUAUCAUGAAGAACUCCGAUCGCGAAGGCAGGUAUCCGGGGUGCAACUGACGCUGAGGC